RNAcentral lists this ribosomal RNA (334 nucleotides) under uncultured bacterium. RNAcentral's name for it is "bacterial SSU rRNA". It matches the Rfam family "Bacterial small subunit ribosomal RNA", at positions 30 to 361 of the family's 1533-position model. The record is from RNAcentral.
AUUGAACGCUGGCGGCGUGCUUAACACAUGCAAGUCGUGCGGUAACAGGCGUAGCAAUACGUGCUGACGAGCGGCGAACGGGUGCGUAAUACAUGGGAAUCUGCCUUUUAGUGGGGAAUAACCCGGCGAAAGCCGGGCUAAUGCCGCAUAAGAUCUUCGGAUGAAAGCGGGGGAGUCGUAAGACCUCGCGCUGAUAGAUGAGCCCACUGCCGGAUUAGCAGUUGGUGAGGUAACGGCUCACCAAGGCGACGAUCCGUAGCUGGUCUGAGAGGACGGCCAGCCACACUGGGACUGAGACACGGCCCAGACUCCUACGGGAGGCAGCAGUGGGGAA